This 460-nucleotide ribosomal RNA is filed under the name uncultured bacterium. RNAcentral describes it as "partial 16S ribosomal RNA". It matches the Rfam family "Bacterial small subunit ribosomal RNA", at positions 338 to 795 of the family's 1533-position model. The record is from RNAcentral.
CCUACGGGCGGCAGCAGUGAGGAAUAUUGGUCAAUGGCCGCGAGCCUGAACCAGCCAAGUAGCGUGAAGGAUGACUGCCCUAUGGGUUGUAAACUUCUUUUAUAAAGGAAUAAAGUGAGGCACGUGUGCAUUGUUGUAUGUACCUUAUGAAUAAGGAUCGGCUAACUCCGUGCCAGCAGCCGCGGUAAUACGGAGGAGCCGAGCGUUAUCCGGAUUUAUUGGGUUUAAAGGGGGCGUAGGUGGGCUGUUAAGUCAGUUGUGAAAGUUUGCGGCUCCCCCGUAAAAUUGCCAUUGAUACUGGCAGUCUUGAGUACAGUUGAGGUAGGCGGAAUGCGUUGUGUAGCGGUGAAAUGCUUAGAUAUCACUCAGAACUCCGAUUGCGAAGGCAGCUUACUAAACUGCCACUGCCACUGAUGCUCGACAGUGUGGGUAUCAAACAGGAUUAGAUACCCUGGUAGUC